RNAcentral lists this transfer RNA (58 nucleotides) under Urocricetus kamensis (Tibetan dwarf hamster). RNAcentral's name for it is "tRNA-Ser". Lineage: Eukaryota; Metazoa; Chordata; Mammalia; Rodentia; Cricetidae. The record is from RNAcentral.
AAGAAAGACUGCAAGAACUGCUAACUCAUGCUACCGUAUAUAAAAAUAUGGCUUUCUU